AUUGAACGCUGGCGGAAUGCUUUACACGUGCAAGUCGAACGGCAGCACGGACUUCGGUCUGGUGGCGAGUGGCGAGCGGGUGAGUAAUGUAUCGGAACGUGCCCAGUCGUGGGGGAUAACGUAGUGAAAAUUACGCUAAUACCGCAUACGAUCUAUGGAUGAAAGCGGGGGAUCGCAAGACCUCGCGCGAUUGGAGCGGCCGAUAUCAGAUUAGGUAGUUGGUGGGGUAAAGGCCCACCAAGCCAACGAUCUGUAGCUGGUCUGAGAGGACGACCAGCCAAACGGGAACUGAGACGCGGUCCAGACUCCUACGGGAGGCAGCAGUGGGGAAUUUUGGACAAUGGGCGAAAGCGUGAACCAGCCAUUCCGCGUGCAGGAUGAAGUCCCUCGGGUUGUAAACUGCUUUUGUACAGAACGAAAAGGUUUCUACUAAUACUAUGAGCUCAUGACGGUACUGUAAGAAUAAGCACCGGCUAACUACGUGCCAGCCGCCGCCGUAA
This 500-nucleotide ribosomal RNA is filed under the name uncultured bacterium. RNAcentral's name for it is "partial 16S ribosomal RNA". It matches the Rfam family "Bacterial small subunit ribosomal RNA", at positions 30 to 523 of the family's 1533-position model. The record is from RNAcentral.